This 1631-nucleotide long non-coding RNA is filed under the name Vigna radiata. RNAcentral's name for it is "long non-coding RNA (VRAD_LNC014765)". The record is from RNAcentral. Lineage: Eukaryota; Viridiplantae; Streptophyta; Magnoliopsida; Fabales; Fabaceae.
CCUCUAAUCCAACAGAAUUAACCGACUAAGCGAAGGUUAACCCGGUUUUCAUAAAAGCGAACUAAGCGGAAGCAGUGUUAAUGUCAAAUCUAAUUUACAUCAUGCAGUUACAUCGACUAAGCGAGGAUGUAAUACCAACUGGGCAACUAAGCCUAUACCCAAUUGCAAGUGCAAAAAUAGAAUUCACAUUAACCAAGUUAGAGUGCACAGACAAUCACAAUUCAAGAAUCUCAAGGAAACACAACAAUAUCGUUAAUGACCAACCAAACUAAUUUAAGCUACCAUGAAAAUUAAAUUAACACAACUAGAAACCUUAGACAACAUUGAAAUAAAUUAAAAUACUAGACCCCAACAAUGUGACAAACAAGUAUCCAGCAAAGUUAAUUUAAAUUAAAUGCAAAAAUAAAUUAGAGAAACUAAAAAGCGACUAAUCCUACUAUGCAAAUUAAUUCAAAACUAAGGAAUAACCAAACAUGCUUUUUCCUACACAUUCCAUGUGACCAAAUACAUCCAACAAAUGAUUUUAAAAGUGAAAUUGGCCCAAGAAAACCUUCAUGGUCGUGAGUCAUGUAGUCCCCCAAAGUCAACUUCAAUUCAACCUUCAAUAGACUAUUCAUAUGUUGUCUCCUUUUGUCCCAUGUGCCUCAUUCUCCAAGAAAGUGAACAUGUGCCUUCCACACACAAUAAAACCAUGCUCUCUCUCCUACCAUGCAACAAAGAAACGUUCUCUCUCCCUACCAAAACUAAAUUGCCGAACUCACUCCUCUUCCAAGGUUAAAAAAAACGUUGCCUUCCAUAUUCCACACUCCAAAAGGUGCUUUAAUCUCUUCUACCAAGGUGCCACAUGUGCAAAGUCAAAGGGAAUAAAAACAAACACAACCAUCCUCUUCUUCAAUGCAAUUCACGUUAAGCUAGCAUAGGGUCAAGACCAAAAGGGAAAUAUUCUAGCUAUGGUAAAUGUGCUUCAUAUUGUGCAUGGCCAAAUGAGGUAAAAAAUUAAAUGUGCAUUUCUCUCUCCUUACUACACUCAUUUUCAGUUUUCCUCCACCAAACAAGCUUCCAAAACCUUUCUCCACCCUUCCAAACUGAGAAUACACUCAAGAUACCCCAAGGUUUCAAUUGCAAAGUGAAUCAACAACAAAGCUAAGUUCUACUACUACAAACCAACCCAACUCUCACUUUUAAUGAAAACAAAAUGGAAUCCCUAAACCCCUUUGCAAAACCGUCCAGCCCCCAUCAUGAAACACAAUGUCCAGCUAAAAAUAUGAUUCCAAACAUCAAAAAUGAAAUGCAAGAAGAAAGGGUUCAAAACUCAAACACCCAUACACCAACUCAAGCUUCUUUCACUCCAAAACCCAUCAAGAACUUCAUUUUCAUCAUCUAAUCCAAGAAAACCAAAGUAAAUACGAAAAUAUUGCAGCAUAUGAGUAGAAAAACGAAAUAGCUCUUCAUCCAAAACAAAGACCCAUCAUGAAAAUGCAAAGAAACAACCUCAAGCUCAUACUUUCAACUUCAAAAAGCAAGAAACAAAGUGGAAUAUGGGAUAGUUUUCACCACCACCAAGCAAAGACAAUCAAGGUUCAAGCAAGAGAAGAAGAAAAAUAUGAUCUUGGUCAUUCCAUAGCUCAAAG